This 441-nucleotide long non-coding RNA is filed under the name Erythranthe guttata (spotted monkey flower). RNAcentral's name for it is "long non-coding RNA (EGUT_LNC000182)". Lineage: Eukaryota; Viridiplantae; Streptophyta; Magnoliopsida; Lamiales; Phrymaceae. The record is from RNAcentral.
UCGCCAUCAACCCAUGUUUUAAUCCAUGUUUAUUUCCUCUCAAACCCGCCGCAAGACCUCCAUUUUCGCCGCCGGAGCUGCUGCGGCCCAGGAAAAAAUCCCACCGCCUAUUUGUCGUAAAAUCCGUUUUGAAAUACGACCCGUUUGAUUCAUUCAUUGCUAAUGAUCCUGGAACCCAUGUUCUUAAUGUGGAUCCCGUUUAUGAACCCACCCCUCGUAAUCGUCCCCUUCGAAGAAUUUUGGAAUUUUUUUAAAUUAGUUUUUGAGAUUUUCUUUUGUGCAGGGAUGAAUUGGGUUUUUGGGUUUUUUAAUUUUGGAAUUUUUUCUGGAAUAUCGUUGGAUUUGCAGGUUGUUCGAACAACCUUAGCUGCAAUGAUUUAGUGCUUCGUUGGAUUUGCAGGUUGUUCGAACAACCUUAGCUGGAAUAUCAUUGGAUUUACA